AUGAUCAAGGUGCAGAAGCUCGUGCUCAACAUCUCCGUCGGCGAGAGCGGCGAUCGCCUCACUCGAGCUGCCAAGGUGUUGGAGCAGCUGAGCGGGCAGUCGCCAGUUUUCUCCAAGGCGAGGUACACUGUCAGGUCUUUCGGCAUUCGGCGUAAUGAGAAGAUUGCCUGCUACGUGACAAUCAGGGGUGAGAAGGCAAUGCAGCUUCUCGAGAGUGGGCUGAAGGUGAAGGAGUACGAGCUCCUGAGGAGGAACUUCAGUGACACUGGUUGCUUUGGGUUUGGUAUUCAGGAGCACAUUGAUCUUGGCAUGAAGUAUGACCCAUCUACCGGCAUCUACGGUAUGGACUUCUUCGUGGUUCUGGAGCGAGCUGGAUACCGAGUCUCCCGCCGGCGCCGAUGCAAGGCCCGUGUUGGGAUUCACCAAAGGGUGACCAAGGAAGACGCCAUGAAGUGGUUCCAGGUCAAGUAUGAGGGUGUCAUCCUGAACAAGUCCCACGCUAGCUAG
Molecule: ribosomal RNA, 507 nt
Filed under: Triticum aestivum (bread wheat)
Lineage: Eukaryota; Viridiplantae; Streptophyta; Magnoliopsida; Poales; Poaceae
Description: partial small subunit ribosomal RNA
Source: RNAcentral